AGAGAGAGACAUGCGCGCAUAUCAAUAAGCGGAGGAAAAGAAACUAACUAGGAUUCCCUCAGUAACGGCGAGUGAAGCGGGAAGAGCUCAAAUUUGAAAUCUUCAAGGUUCUACCUUGACGAAUUGUAGUUUAAAGAAGUGUUUUCUGUUGGAGUUUUGGUAAAAGUUCUUUGGAAUAGGACAUCAUAGAGGGUGAGAAUCCCGUAUUUGACCAUUAUUUCCAGCUUUGUGAUACACUUUCAAGAGUCGGAUUGUUUGGGAAUGCAGUCCAAAAUGGGUGGUAAAUUUCAUCUAAAGCUAAAUAUUGGCGAGAGACCGAUAGCGAACAAGUACCGUGAGGGAAAGACGAAAAGAACUUUGAAAAGAGAGUUAAACAGUACGUGAAAUUGUCAAAAGGGAAGCGUUUGACACCAGUGUUGUUUUCUCGAAAAUCAAUUAAAAAAGGCAGGAUUUUGUGUUGUAUUGACUUUAUCAGCUUUCUGCACUCUUUUCUUGUCUUUUUUAAUGCACUUUUCGUUUAACAAGUCAACAUCAAUUUCUUUUGUUGUAAAAGGGUCAUUGGAAGGUGGCUUUCUUUUCGGAGAAAGUGUUUAUAGCCUUUGGCCUCUGCAAUCGGAGAGAUUGAGGUCUGCAGCGUAGAUCCUUCGGGGUUAGAUACAUUUGUGCUAAGUUAUAGCCUUUCAUAGACAACUUGUUGACUAUGAUCAGUCAUGUAGCUUACUCGCUUAUGCUAUUUUACCUACGCUUAGGAUGUUGAUGUGAUACUGCGAGCA
This 773-nucleotide ribosomal RNA is filed under the name uncultured Neocallimastigales. Its description in RNAcentral is "partial large subunit ribosomal RNA". It matches the Rfam family "Eukaryotic large subunit ribosomal RNA", at positions 23 to 639 of the family's 3401-position model. The record is from RNAcentral. Lineage: Eukaryota; Fungi; Neocallimastigomycota; Neocallimastigomycetes; Neocallimastigales.